This 246-nucleotide ribosomal RNA is filed under the name uncultured bacterium. Its description in RNAcentral is "partial small subunit ribosomal RNA". It matches the Rfam family "Bacterial small subunit ribosomal RNA", at positions 26 to 285 of the family's 1533-position model. The record is from RNAcentral.
AGGAUGAACGCUGGCGGCGUGCCUAAUACAUGCAAGUCGAACGGAGCCGCAAGGCUUAGUGGCGACCGGGUGAGUAACACGUAGCUAACCUACCCCUCGGCGGGGGAUAACAGGCCGAAAGGCUUGCUAAUACCGCAUGACUUCGUCGGGACUAGAAAACGAUGAAGAAACUUUCGGGGUCGAGGGAGGGGCUGCGGCCCAUCAGGUAGUUGGUGAGGUAACGGCUCACCAAGCCGACGACGGGUA